AUCAAACGAACCCUUUUCCCCUUCUCUCCCAUCCCUCUUUCUCGCAAAACCCUAGUAGCCGCCAUUGUUUUCUUCUUCUCUCUCAUCCCAAAAAUGUCUGGUGUGGCUGAGUGUGGGUUUUUGGAAGCACAAAAAGGCUUUCAAGUUCAAUCUUGACCACAGCUGCACUUUAAAAAGGACUCUGAUUUUAUCCUAUGACAACACUGGUUUGGGGAGUUGAGGUGGUUUGGGGGAUAGGUCUUAGCCAUUCCCCGAUGUCCAACCAUGUCUGAGGUUCAUGAAAUCCCUUGAAACUUCUGCGGCGUCGGGAAUACGAGUGGUGACAAUCUUUUCCCUUGUAUGGCAUGAGUUACAAAUUAGUGAAGCCAAUAGUAUACAAUCGAGUCCUUUAAUUGUGCACUUUGUAACCAAAUUUGAUAUAUAUGGUUAUGUGUAUAAUUAUACUAGUGAUAGGUUCAGCAAACGUAGACUAACUUGGGUCCUUUUCUUUUUCCUCCUCUCACUGCAUGGCCAUUUGGGCCGAAGUCCAGCCACCUUAUUGGGCCAAAGGCGCAAUAGGAAAUUUUCCUUCAAUAAAUUAUUAAGUCCGAUGAAAGAAAGGGAAGCUAAUAUUAUUGAAGGCCCAGUCAUGGGUGAGAAUGACAUGAAGGCCCAGUCAUGGUUGAGAAUGACAUGAAGGCCCAACCAUGGGUAAAAAUAGUUAACGAGGGGUUUGGUACACCCCUAGCCUAUCCCUCCUCCUUUAAUUUUAUCAUGCCAGUUUAUUUUGUUGAUUAAAGUGUUGUACUGUAUUUGUAUGUUGUAAAACAACUCACACUAUUAUUGGAAUCAUUUAUGGUUUGAA
Lycium barbarum (goji berry) is the source of this 844-nucleotide long non-coding RNA. RefSeq lists it as uncharacterized. The transcript has 3 exons. The record is from RefSeq and is a predicted model, not a curated record. Lineage: Eukaryota; Viridiplantae; Streptophyta; Magnoliopsida; Solanales; Solanaceae.